GGGAGGUAGUGACAAUAAAUAACAAUACGGGGUUCUUUCGGAUUUCGUAAUUGGAAUGAGUACAAUUUAAAUCUCUUAACGAGGAACAAUUGGAGGGCAAGUCUGGUGCCAGCAGCCGCGGUAAUUCCAGCUCCAAUAGCGUAUAUUAAAGUUGUUGCAGUUAAAAAGCUCGUAGUUGAAUUUCGGGAUCAAUAUGUUGGUCGUGCCUUGGUACGUACUAGUUUAUUGGUUUCUUCCUUCUGACGAACCAUGAUGUCAUUAAUUUGGUGUCUUGGGGAAUCAGGACUGUUACUUUGAAAAAUUAGAGUGUUUAAAGCAGGCUCACGCUUGAAUACAUUAGCAUGGAAUAAUGAAAUAGGACGUUUGAUUCUAUUUUGUUGGUUUCUAGGAUCGACGUAAUGAUUAAUAGGGAUAGUUGGG
This 420-nucleotide ribosomal RNA is filed under the name uncultured Glomeraceae. Its description in RNAcentral is "SSU rRNA". It matches the Rfam family "Eukaryotic small subunit ribosomal RNA", at positions 459 to 886 of the family's 1831-position model. The record is from RNAcentral. Lineage: Eukaryota; Fungi; Glomeromycota; Glomeromycetes; Glomerales; Glomeraceae.